RNAcentral lists this ribosomal RNA (253 nucleotides) under uncultured bacterium. RNAcentral describes it as "partial 16S ribosomal RNA". It matches the Rfam family "Bacterial small subunit ribosomal RNA", at positions 524 to 776 of the family's 1533-position model. The record is from RNAcentral.
UACGGAGGAACCGAGCGUUAUCCGGAUUUAUUGGGUUUAAAGGGAGCGUAGGUGGAUUGUUAAGUCAGUUGUGAAAGUUUGCGGCUCAACCGUAAAAUUGCAGUUGAAACUGGCAGUCUUGAGUACAGUAGAGGUGGGCGGAAUUCGUGGUGUAGCGGUGAAAUGCUUAGAUAUCACGAAGAACUCCGAUUGCGAAGGCAGCUCACUGGACUGCAACUGACACUGAGGCUCGAAAGUGUGGGUAUCAAACAGG